RNAcentral lists this ribosomal RNA (253 nucleotides) under uncultured bacterium. RNAcentral's name for it is "partial 16S ribosomal RNA". It matches the Rfam family "Bacterial small subunit ribosomal RNA", at positions 524 to 776 of the family's 1533-position model. The record is from RNAcentral.
UACGGAGGAUGCAAGCGUUAUCCGGAAUCAUUGGGUUUAAAGGGUCCGCAGGCGGGUUGUUAAGUCAGGGGUGAAAUCUUACAGCUCAACUGUAAAAUUGCCUUUGAUACUGGCAAUCUUGAAUCAUUAUGAAGUGGUUAGAAUGUGUAGUGUAGCGGUGAAAUGCUUAGAUAUUACACAGAAUACCGAUUGCGAAGGCAGAUCACUAACAAUGUAUUGACGCUCAGGGACGAAAGCGUGGGGAGCAAACAGG